AACGGCCAUACCAUGCUGAAUAUACCGGUUCUCGUUAGAUCACCGAUGUCAAGCAUCAUUGGGCGCGGUCAGUACUUGAGUGGGGUGACCUCCUAAGGGGAACACCGAGUGCCGUU
This is a non-coding RNA of Caerostris extrusa, 116 nucleotides long. NCBI's taxonomy places the organism in Eukaryota, Metazoa, Arthropoda, Arachnida, Araneae, Araneidae. The record is from the annotation of a GenBank genome assembly.